CUCAGUUAUGGGUUCUUGCUGUAAAUAUGGACAUAAAACAAAGUGUGGGCUUUAGGUGGGCUUUCUUCAGUUUUGGAUUGCCCAUAAAGGACCCACACACAUUC
Vigna angularis (adzuki bean) is the source of this 104-nucleotide non-coding RNA. The record is from Rfam. NCBI's taxonomy places the organism in Eukaryota, Viridiplantae, Streptophyta, Magnoliopsida, Fabales, Fabaceae.